Small nuclear RNA from Spermophilus dauricus (Daurian ground squirrel), 107 nucleotides. The record is from Ensembl. Lineage: Eukaryota; Metazoa; Chordata; Mammalia; Rodentia; Sciuridae.
GUUCUUGCUUCGGCAGUACAUAUACUAAAAUUGGAACCAUACAGAGAAGAUCAGCAUGGCCCCUGCACAAGGAUGACAUGCAAAUUCGUGCAGCGUUCCAUAUUAAG